CUACCCUUGACAUGUCAAGGAUUCUGCAGAGAUGUGGAAGUGCUCGAAAGAGAACUUGAACACAGGUGCUGCAUGGCCGUCGUCAGCUCGUGUCGUGAGAUGUUGGGUUAAGUCCCGCAACGAGCGCAACCCUUAUCAAUAGUUGCUACGCAAGGGCACUCUAUUGAGACUGCCGGUGACAAACCGGAGGAAGGUGGGGAUGACGUCAGGUCAUCAUGGCCCUUACGGCCUGGGCUACACACGUGCUACAAUGGUCGGUACAGAGGGCUGCCAAGCCGCGAGGUGGAGCUAAUCCCAUAAAACCGAUUGUAGUCCAGAUCGCAGUCUGCAACUCGACUGCGUGAAGUCGGAAUCGCUAGUAAUCGCGAAUCAGAAUGUCGCGGUGAAUACGUUCCC
RNAcentral lists this ribosomal RNA (396 nucleotides) under uncultured bacterium. Its description in RNAcentral is "bacterial SSU rRNA". It matches the Rfam family "Bacterial small subunit ribosomal RNA", at positions 975 to 1375 of the family's 1533-position model. The record is from RNAcentral.